GUGGGGAAUCUUGCGCAAUGGGCGAAAGCCUGACGCAGCCAUGCCGCGUGAAUGAUGAAGGUCUUAGGAUUGUAAAAUUCUUUCACCGGGGACGAUAAUGACGGUACCCGGAGAAGAAGCCCCGGCUAACUUCGUGCCAGCAGCCGCGGUAAUACGAAGGGGGCUAGCGUUGCUCGGAAUUACUGGGCGUAAAGGGCGCGUAGGCGGAUCGUUAAGUCAGGGGUGAAAUCCCAGAGCUCAACUCUGGAACUGCCCUUGAUACUGGCGAUCUGGAGUGUGAGAGAGGUAUGUGGAACUCCGAGUGUAGAGGUGAAAUUCGUAGAUAUUCGGAAGAACACCAGUGGCGAAGGCGACAUACUGGCUCAUUACUGACGCUGAGGCGCGAAAGCGUGGGGAGCAAACAGGAUUAGAAACCCCAGUAGUCC
Molecule: ribosomal RNA, 425 nt
Filed under: uncultured bacterium
Lineage: Bacteria
Description: partial 16S ribosomal RNA
Rfam family: Bacterial small subunit ribosomal RNA
Source: RNAcentral